UUUUUUUGUUUGAGUUUGACAGGUGUUAAAAUACUGCUGGAACUGUCAAUAAAUAUUAAGCAAUAAUUAUUAUUUAUUUAACGCGAGUUUCAGGAUAGUUAUUACGAAUACCACUUAUUUAGAAUUUAAGCUAAGCAAAAAUGCGAUAUAUCCUCUAUUUCCUGGUAUACUCUUGCCUAUUAGUGGCCCUGUUCUCAACAUUCUUGUACCUGAUGACUGUGGUAGAUCCUGGCCUGCUGCAUCUCUCGGAUAAAGCCGCUAGGAUGAUGAAGACGAACAGAGAAGGGGUUCAAGCAAGUCGUGAUCAGUUGCCUUCAGAAAUGUACAUCGACUUUAGCGAGAUGUUCAACAGAAGCAGAAAUGUGGUCUAAUCUGCAUUUUACCGCAGUCGGUAGUAUGUUAAAAUAAAGUUUUUGAAUAAAA
This is a long non-coding RNA of Helicoverpa armigera (cotton bollworm), 423 nucleotides long. RefSeq lists it as uncharacterized. The record is from RefSeq and is a predicted model, not a curated record. Lineage: Eukaryota; Metazoa; Arthropoda; Insecta; Lepidoptera; Noctuidae. The transcript has 3 exons.